GCCAGGUACAGUGGCACAUGCCUGUAAUCCCAGUGUCUAGGAGGCUGAAGCAGGAGGAUCAUGAGUUCAAAGCCAGCCUCAGCAAUUUAGCAAAGCCCUACACAACUCAGUGAGACCCUGUCUCUA
This 126-nucleotide small RNA is filed under the name Marmota monax (woodchuck). The record is from RNAcentral. Lineage: Eukaryota; Metazoa; Chordata; Mammalia; Rodentia; Sciuridae.